This 496-nucleotide ribosomal RNA is filed under the name Pseudotrochalus sp. DA1522. Its description in RNAcentral is "partial 16S large subunit ribosomal RNA". It matches the Rfam family "Bacterial large subunit ribosomal RNA", at positions 1844 to 2600 of the family's 2925-position model. The record is from RNAcentral. Lineage: Eukaryota; Metazoa; Arthropoda; Insecta; Coleoptera; Scarabaeidae.
UUUAAAGUCUAAUCUGCCCUAUGAGGAGUUAAAUGGCCGCGGUACUUUGACCGUGCAAAGGUAGCAUAAUAAUUAGUUUUUUAAUUGAAAGCUGGAAUGAAUGAUUGGACGAGAAAAUUUCUGUCUCAAGUUAAUUUUAUUAGAAUUUUAUUUUUAAGUUAAAAAGCUUAAAUAUUUUUAGAAGACGAGAAGACCCUAUAGAGUUUUAUAUAUUUUAGUAUAUUUAAAUUUUUAGAAUUUUAUUUUUGUUAUAUUUAAGUAUAUUUUGUUGGGGUGAUAGAAAAAUUAAAUUAACUUUUUUUAUAUUUUUACAUUGAUAUAUGAUUAAAUGAUCCAUUUUUUAUGAUUAUAAGAUUAAAUUACCUUAGGGAUAACAGCGUAAUUAUUUUUUAGAGUUCUUAUCGAAAAAAUAGAUUGCGACCUCGAUGUUGGAUUAAAAUAAAUGUUUGGUGUAGGGGCUAAAUAAUUAGGUCUGUUCGACCUUUAAAAUUUUACA